GCCCCAGUAGCUCAGUAGGUAGAGCGACGGUUUCGUAAACCGUUGGUCAGGGGUUCAAAUCCCCUCUGGGGCU
RNAcentral lists this transfer RNA (73 nucleotides) under Thermoproteota archaeon. Its description in RNAcentral is "tRNA-Thr". It matches the Rfam family "tRNA". Rfam says of the family: Transfer RNA (tRNA) molecules are approximately 80 nucleotides in length. Lineage: Archaea; Thermoproteati; Thermoproteota. RNAcentral also lists the same sequence under 1 other name. The record is from RNAcentral.